Molecule: transfer RNA, 118 nt
Filed under: Alphaproteobacteria bacterium
Lineage: Bacteria; Pseudomonadati; Pseudomonadota; Alphaproteobacteria
Description: tRNA-Gly
Source: RNAcentral
GCGGGCGAAGCUCCGUGGGGGUAUGGGGGUGAACAAACGUGAACCGCGCCGGGUUUGCCGGAGGCUCCAAACCUUGCCAAGGUUGGGGUCGUGAGUUCGAAUCUCAUCGCCCGCUCCA